AAAGUAGCUUGCUACUCGAGCUUAGUGGCGGAAGGGUUAGUAAUACAUGGGUAACCUGCCUCUAACUUGGGAAUAACGGCUGGAAACGGCCGCUAAUACCGAAUGUGGUGGGAAGUGGCAUCGCUUCAUCAUUAAAGUGGGGGAUCGUAAGACCUCGCGGUUAGAGAGGGGCCCAUGGGAUAUCAGCUUGUUGGUGAGGUAAAGGCUCACCAAGGCUAUGACGUCUAGGCGGAUUGAGAGAUUGACCGCCAACACUGGGACUGAGACACUGCCCAGACUCCUACGGGAGGCUGCAGUCGAGAAUCAUUCGCAAUGGGCGAAAGCCUGACGAUGCGACGCUGCGUGAGUGACGAAGGCCUUCGGGUCGUAAAACUCUUUCGCCAGGGAACAAGGGAAGGUGACUAAUAUUCACCUGACUUGAGCGUACCUGGUAAAGAAGCACCGGCUAACUCCGUGCCAGCAGCUGCGGUAAUACGGAGGGUGCAAGCGUUAAUCGGAUUUAUUGGGCGUAAAGGGGGCGCAGGCGGGAAAGUAAGUCAGAUGUGAAAUUCCGAGGCUCAACCUCGGAGCUGCAUUUGAAACUACUUUUCUUGAGGAUAGGCGGAGAAAACGGAAUUCCACAAGUAGCGGUGAAAUGCGUAGAUAUGUGGAAGAAUACCCGUGGCGAAGGCGGUUUUCUAGAUUAUUCCUGACGCUGAGGCCCGAAAGCUAGGGGAGCGAACAGGAUUAGAUACCCUGGUAGUCCUAGCCGUAAACGAUGUGUACUUGGUGUAGAUGGUCUCAACCCCAUCUGUGCCGGAGCUAACGCGUUAAGUACACCGCCUGGGGAGUACGCUCGCAAGGGUGAAACUCAAAAGAAUUGAUGGGGACCCGCACAAGCAGUGGAGCAUGUGGUUUAAUUCGAUGCACCGCGAAGAACCUUACCUGGACUUGACAUGUAGCGGACCGCUCUAGAAAUGGAGUUUUCCUUCGGGACUGCUACACAGGUGCUGCAUGGCUGUCGUCAGCUCGUGCCGUGAGGUGUUGGGUUAAGUCCCGCAACGAGCGCAACCCUUGUCGUUAGUUGCCAACAGUUAAGCUGGGAACUCUAACGAGACUGCCUGGGUUAACCAGGAGGAAGGUGAGGAUGACGUCAAGUCAGCAUGGCCCUUAUGUCCAGGGCUACACACGUGCUACAAUGGUCGGUACAGAGGGCAGCAAAACCGAGAGGUCAAGCAAAUCCUAGAAAGCCGGCCCCAGUUCGGAUUGUAGUCUGCAACUCGACUACAUGAAGUCGGAAUUGCUAGUAAUGGCGUGUCAGCAACAACGCCGUGAUACGUUCCCGGGUCUUGUACACACCGCCCGUCACAUCAUGGAAGUUGGUCUUACCCGACGUCGCUGACUCAACCGCAAGGAGAGAAGCGCCUAAGGUGAGG
Molecule: ribosomal RNA, 1415 nt
Filed under: uncultured prokaryote
Description: partial 16S ribosomal RNA
Rfam family: Bacterial small subunit ribosomal RNA
Source: RNAcentral